This 467-nucleotide ribosomal RNA is filed under the name uncultured bacterium. Its description in RNAcentral is "partial 16S ribosomal RNA". It matches the Rfam family "Bacterial small subunit ribosomal RNA", at positions 28 to 507 of the family's 1533-position model. The record is from RNAcentral.
GACGAACGCUGGCGGCGUGCUUAACACAUGCAAGUCGAACGGAAAGGCCCUGCUUUUGUGGGGUGCUCGAGUGGCGAACGGGUGAGUAACACGUGAGUAACCUGCCCUUGACUUUGGGAUAACUUCAGGAAACUGGGGCUAAUACCGGAUAGGAGCUCCUGCUGCAUGGUGGGGGUUGGAAAGUUUCGGCGGUUGGGGAUGGACUCGCGGCUUAUCAGCUUGUUGGUGGGGUAGUGGCUUACCAAGGCUUUGACGGGUAGCCGGCCUGAGAGGGUGACCGGCCACAUUGGGACGGAGUUACGGCCCAGACUCCUACGGGAGGCAGCAGUGGGGAAUAUUGCACAAUGGGCGGAAGCCUGAUGCAGCAACGCCGCGUGCGGGAUGACGGCCUUCGGGUUGUAAACCGCUUUCGCCUGUGACGAGGCGUGAGUGACGGUAAUGGGUAAGAAGCACCGGCUAACUACGUG